RNAcentral lists this ribosomal RNA (250 nucleotides) under uncultured bacterium. Its description in RNAcentral is "partial 16S ribosomal RNA". It matches the Rfam family "Bacterial small subunit ribosomal RNA", at positions 355 to 602 of the family's 1533-position model. The record is from RNAcentral.
UAAGGAAUAUUGGACAAUGGUCGGAAGACUGAUCCAGCCAUGCCGCGUGAAGGACGAAGGCGCUCAGCGUUGUAAACUUCUUUUGGAUGGGGAUAAUAACCUCGAUUUAUCGGGGCUUGAAGGUACCAUCAGAAUAAGCACCGGCUAACUCCGUGCCAGCAGCCGCGGUAAUACGGAGGGUGCGAGCGUUAUCCGGAAUCACUGGGUUUAAAGGGUGCGUAGGCGGCGAGGUAAGUCAGUUGUGAAAUUC